GGUCAACGGACAUAAGGACUGAGCAAACAAGGAGCUGAUUGAUGGUCUUUAGAAGAGCAUCGAUGGAGCGUCUGUGGUGGAGAUAAAUGCCAGAUUGCUGAUGAUGAAGGGUGAAAGGUUGCGAGAAGGUGGAGACAGUAAGUGCAGACAUUCUUUUAAAAAAAACUUGAAGGAUAGUAGGUAGAGGGCAUGCUGUAUCAAGAUGAGAGUGACUUCAACAUGGUUAUGCACUACACAGAAGUUGGCAGAAAGGGAGAAGUUGAUACAGGAAAAAGGAAGUAUGUGAGACUGAAUGUUAUCCUCAGGAUUAGCGGGAAUGGAGGGAAGAUAUAGGGCUGGAGUAGGAGUAGGAGUAUAAUUUCUACUGACAUAGGAGUAGCGGAAGGAGAGAUGGUGUUGAGGAAGAAAAGUGUUUGGGUGGUAGGUGAGGGAUUUGGGGCCUCCUUACACUUGAUUAAUUUUCUCAGUAAAGUGUGGGGAGGUUAAAGUCAUUAGCUGAGUUUAUCGAGUAAGAAAAUAGUGAUUGUAGGGGAGAGUUUGAGGAGAAGGGAGCAUUUUCAGAAGGCCAUUGGUGGAAAUGAGAGGGCUAAUGGAAUGGAUUACUUAGACGAAUUGUAAUGACACAUAUUUCAUGGCUCUGGUGUAUAUAGUUGUAUGAGUGAUCUUCUCCCCCCAUGUCAGGGCUCAGCAACCUGAGUGAGCAGACAAGUUGAACAAGUCCCCGUCUAAUGGGCCAGUGUGGCAGAAAGGGAGGCAAGAGAUUUCAGCAGUGAUAGGGUUUAAAGCAAUGGGCCAUUGAGGCUAAGCUGAAUAGGGGGUAACUUUUGAAACCGGAAAGCAGCUGGGAUAUGAAGUGUCGAGACUGGAUAUUGGAAUUUAAGAUUAAGUUAAAUUUCAGAUUAAAUAGGAGGAGCAGUUGCUGGUUAUGACUGACUGUAAGAGCUGGUUAUGGAGCAGAUUUCUGAAGUAGAGAGAAAGUGAAGGUUAUGGGGGUUGAACAGAUAAGGGAACUGUAAAGCUAGGGUGUUAACAGGAGUCAGCUACAGAGGAAGUAAGUUGCUCAGAAUGGUUCUAGGAUAAGGGUUGGGAAGAUUAUGAACUUUGUUCCAAAGUCUUUAGUGAACGUGGGAGAGUGACCAAGAGGUCAGGUGAUGACAGAAACAAGGAGAGAAAGGCAGGAACAGGACAUAAACCUCUACAGAGGUACUUUUAUAUGAGGGUAAAGAACUGCAUUGGUGAAUAAAGAAUGACCUCCAUGCCUCACCUUGGCUGAGCAGGAGAAAGAAUAGCUUGCAUUCAUAUUUUAGUUUAGACAGAAAGACUGCUGGAAUGUUAUUCAAAUUGGUUCAAGGUUUAGGGUAUUUGUUUACAGUGGAACAUUUAAAGGGUUAUCAGGAAAUAUAGCUAUUGCACAUGUGCGCUAGUCGAGGAGGGGGAGUACAUACCAGAAAUGAGAUCAGAGUGCAGCGACAAAGAGGAAUUAAAUUGGAGGGGCUUAGGUUUGGAUGAUUGUGGUAAUGAUGAAAAACAUGGUAGUCUUAGCUGGUCUCAAAAUUUUUAUUGAUUUUGUGGGAAAAUGUAUUUAUGCUGACAGACUGAGAUACUGGUUAUGCACAAAACUGGAUGACUUCAUUAUUUUCAGGUCUGCUUAGUAAUGUUUAGCAAUCUGUGGCCUUUGCUCAGCAUGUCAUGAAGAACCCUAGCAUGGAGGUGUUUUCUUCUUUGGCAAGGCCUAGCCCUGGUAAGGAGCAUGGCAGGGCAAAAGCGAUUGGUGGUCACGUGAUCUUUUCACCAGGACAAACUUCUCUCUAAGGGGUGGGUAGGUAGGUAGAGAUAAUCCUGAGUCCAAAUUGGGGUGAGAAAUCAUAGGUCAUCAGUCCUUUGAAAAACCUGAUGCCAGCUUGAAGGGGUAUGUAAAAAAUUCUGAGUCCCAAAAGGAGGGACUAGCAGUAAGGAUGAUUAAUGAUCUUCUUCAUGACUUAAAAAUUUAAUACUAUUGCAGCAGUAUUUAAGUCUUAUUUAAGUUAAAAAGUAUAACCUGAAAUGCUACACAUUAAAUGUCUAUUUUUAAAAUUAGAAAAUGUGUCAAAUUAUAAAGUUGCAAAAUAAUACUCUCAAAAUUUUACCUCUCCCAAAAUGCCUUUCUUUCAACGUUUUUUUUUAUUUUUGAGACAGAGAGAGACAGAGCAUGAACGGGGGAGGGGCAGAGAGAGAGGGAGACACAGAAUCGGAAACAGGCUCCAGGCUCCGAGCCAUCAGCCCAGAGCCUGACGCGAGGCUCGAACUCACGGACCGCGAGAUCGUGACCUGGCUGAAGUCGGACGCUUAACCGACUGCGCCACCCAGGCGCCCCCCAAAAUGCCUUUCUUGAAGCCAAAGGUUUUACGUUGAUCUUUGGCAUAUUAAAAAAAAAAAAUUUUUUUAAUGUUUAUUCCUAUUUGAGAGAGAGAGAGACACACACACAGAGUACAAGCAGGGGAUGGGUCAGAGAGGGAGACACAGAAUCUGAAGCAGGCUCCAGGCUCUGAGCUGCCAGCACAGAGCUCGACGUGGGGCUGGAACUCACAAACCACGAGAUCAUGACCCGAGCCGAAGUCUGGUGCUUAACCGACUGAGCUACCCAGGCGCCCAAUUUUUGGCAUAUUUAAAAUAUGCUUUCAGACUUCCUCGGGGCAAGGAAUACUUAGAAGCAUGAUGCAUGGUGUUUUUGCGCAGCCCUAAGAAUAUUGGUGUGCUCUUGAGCACUGACCUUGAUAAGCACUGAGUAAUGUACAGAUAGAAUUGUUGAAUCAUUGUAUUGUACAUCUGAAGCUAGUAUAAUACUGUAUGUUAAUUAUACUUCAAUUAAAAAAAGAAAGAAAAUAAAUUAAAAAAAGAAAUAAUUGGUAUGUAUGAUUUCACUAUACAAACCAAGAACAGUUCUCCCAGCAGAAAACAUGAUUUCUUUAGAUGUAUAACUAUCUCUGCCUCUCACAAAAUAAUAGAUAAUAUUCAAAAGAAAUCACAUGCCACAAUUUUUUAAAAUCUUUUUAACCACUAGGCUGAUUUGCCUCAUAUUGUUUCUUUUGUCAUAUUAGAACUUUAGCUCAAAGGCAAGUGGUGGCAAGUAGGAGUUAAUGACAAUUUUGGAGAGAAAAAUUCAACCUUAAAAAACAAUUGAACCUUUUAUUUUUUUGAGUUUUCAAGAAAUAUAUUAACAGUAAGAUAUACUCAGUAAAGAAAACUUGGACAAUGUAGGAAGUUAGGAAGGAAGGGUUACCCAUGGCUCAAAUCAACCACACUUGGUAUUUUGGUGUCUUUCUUUUUAGAUUGAGUUUUUCUCUAAAUUUUGAUUAUUUGGUGUUUUGUUGGUUUGUUUGUUUUAGGUAAAUAAUUAUGCUUAUACUGUAAACUUAAACUAGUAAUCUGCUUUUUCACAUAGCAUUAUUCAUAACCUUCAUAACAUCAUUUGUAAUGAUUGCACAAUAUGACGAAUAUACCACUCUGUAUUUAACCCUUCCCCUAAAAUUAGACUUUCUGAGUAUAGUUGACCUUGAACAAAACAAGUUUUAGCUACGCAGGUCCACUUAUAUGCAGAUUAAAAAAUUGUCUAUUUAUUUUGAGAGUGAGAGAAAACUCAUACACAUGUUAACAGGGGUAGGGUGGGGGGUGGGACGGGGUGGUGGGUAGAGAGAGAGGGAGAGAGAGAAUCCCAAGCAGACUCCAUGCUGUCAGCACAGAGCCCAAUGUGGGAUUCAUCCUGACCUGGGCCGAAACCAAGAGUCGACACUUACCCAACUGAGCCACCCAGGCAUGCCCAUGCAGAUUUUUUUCAACAAAUGCAAUGUAGUACUGUAAAUAUAUUUUAUCUUUUUUAGGAUUUUCUUAAUAACAUUUUCUUUUCUCUAACCUACUGAUUCUAAGGAUACAGUAUAUAGUACAUACUACAUACCAGUAGGUAUUUUAUCACCUGUUUUUAUACCUACCAGUAGGUUUUAAUCACCUGUUUAUGUUAUUGGUAAGCCUUCAGCUCAACAAUAGCUAUCAGUUAAGUCUUUGGGGCGUUAAAAGUUAUGGUCAGAAUUUUGACUGUGUGGGAGUUGAUGCCCCUAACCUCUUCUUUGUUUGAAGGUCAGCUGUAUUUCUUUUCUUUUCUUUUUUUUUUUUAGAGAGAGAACGAGCAUGCAAGUGGGGGAGAGGGGCAGAGGGAGAGAGAAUCUUAAGCUCCACACUCAGCACGGAGCCUGACAUGGGGCUCGAUCCCAUGACCCUGGGAUCGUGACCUGAGCCAAAAUCAAGAGUCGGACACUCAACCAGCUGAGCCACCCCAGGCACCCCAAGAGUCAACUGUAUUUCUAAUUUUUUAGAAUAUUAAACCAUGUUACAAUAUGUGUAUUUGCAUACAAUUUUAUUGUGUAUUCUUUAUUUAUUUGCAUAGUAUAGAUUCUUGGAAAUGGAUUUGUUUGAUCAAAGGCUGUACGCAUUUCUGAAGAUCCUG
RNAcentral lists this long non-coding RNA (4477 nucleotides) under Lynx pardinus (Iberian lynx). Lineage: Eukaryota; Metazoa; Chordata; Mammalia; Carnivora; Felidae. The record is from RNAcentral.